GUGCCAGCCGCCGCGGUAAUACGUAUGUCCCGAGCGUUAUCCGGAUUUAUUGGGCGUAAAGCGAGCGCAGACGGUUUAUUAAGUCUGAUGUGAAAGCCCGGAGCUCAACUCCGGAAUGGCAUUGGAAACUGGUUAACUUGAGUGCAGUAGAGGUAAGUGGAACUCCAUGUGUAGCGGUGGAAUGCGUAGAUAUAUGGAAGAACACCAGUGGCGAAGGCGGCUUACUGGACUGCAACUGACGUUGAGGCUCGAAAGUGUGGGUAGCAAACAGGAUUAGAUACCCUGGUAGUCCACACCGUAAACGAUGAACACUAGGUGUUAGGAGGUUUCCGCCUCUUAGUGCCGAAGCUAACGCAUUAAGUGUUCCGCCUGGGGAGUACGACCGCAAGGUUGAAACUCAAAGGAAUUGACGGGGACCCGCGACAAGCGGUGGAGCAUGUGGUUUAAUUCGAAGCAACGCGAAGAACCUUACCAGGUCUUGACAUCCUUUGAAGCUUUUAGAGAUUAGAAGUGUUCUCUUCGGAGACAAAGUGACAGGUGGUG
This 543-nucleotide ribosomal RNA is filed under the name uncultured Leuconostoc sp. Its description in RNAcentral is "bacterial SSU rRNA". It matches the Rfam family "Bacterial small subunit ribosomal RNA", at positions 505 to 1043 of the family's 1533-position model. Lineage: Bacteria; Bacillati; Bacillota; Bacilli; Lactobacillales; Lactobacillaceae. The record is from RNAcentral.